Molecule: ribosomal RNA, 644 nt
Filed under: Yelicones nipponensis
Lineage: Eukaryota; Metazoa; Arthropoda; Insecta; Hymenoptera; Braconidae
Description: eukaryotic LSU rRNA
Rfam family: Eukaryotic large subunit ribosomal RNA
Source: RNAcentral
CCUGAGAAACCCAAAAGAUCGAAUGGGGAGAUUCAUCGUCAGCUCAUUUUCUAUAUGUAUGAGUUAUGAUGCGGGUUACUAUUUUAUAGUAUUGCCUGCACAUUCUUAUAUAUUUAGUUGCAAGAUGUUGUCGGCGUGCACUUCUCCCCUAGUAGGACGUCGCGACCCGUUGGAUGUCGGUCUACGGCUCAAUUUGAUAGCCUUUAAUGUUAUUUUGUAAUGAAAAAACAUUGAAGAUCAUUGAUGUUUUCUGACCGACUAUUCGGCGGUACUCGUACGGUAUUUAGCCGCAAAUAUAUAUACAUACUAUAUAUUAUAAAUGCGUCCAUACCUGUUGCAAGCGAGGCCAAUUUCAUAGUAGUACGGCCCUAGUGCCGUCGCUGGUAUUGGCCAGCUGUUGGUUAAACGGUGUUCUAGGACUGGCUAAAAUUUAAUUACCGGUCGGCGAUGCUACUGCUUUGGGUACUUUCAGGACCCGUCUUGAAACACGGACCAAGGAGUCUAACAUGUGCGCAAGUCAUUGGGAUUUUUUAAUAAUUAAACCUAAAGGCGUAAUGAAAGUGAAGGUCAUCUUUGCGUUGAUCGAGGGAGGAUGAGUUAUAUUAAGAUAUAAUUUCGCACUCCCGGGGCGUCUCAUUCRUAUU